UUAAAUGUCCGCAAAUGGAAGCUCUUUUUUUUAAAUCAGUAACACACUUAGAAAUAUACAUGUUUUAUUUUAAAUUUGUAUUUAAUAUAUGCCACAUUAAAAUUAGCAGUCAAACACUUUUGUUUUCUGACAUAGAUUACAUAAUUUCAGUUGUUUUUUUUUGUGUGUGUUCUUUUGAGGAUUGUUGUAUUAUUUCUCUGAAGUGUGUUUGAUAGAAAUAUGUUGUCAUUUAUAAUUGCGAUUACUUUGACAAUUCUUUUAGCUAGUGCACAGCCCAAUGACUCUUUAACCUGCUCAACAACAGAGAUCGGGAAGACUUCUUCCGUGAAUUUGAUUUGGAAGCCACCUCAAGACUUAACAAAGGCCUGGUCUCUGAAGAUAAAUUCAAGCGUUUUUUUACUCUACAAUAACAACGGAUGGAGGGAAGCUAAAGCGUGUUUCAAUGAUAAAUCAUGCGAGUUAAAAAAUAUGUCAACCAACAAAACUCAAAAUGUUACUUUGUCAUUCAUUGCAGCGGCUACAGGGAAGAAAACUGAAAAGACAGUUGAGUUUGAGAAUAUAGAUAUGAAGUUUUAUCCCUGUGAACUUCAAAUAUACAGUAGGCUUUUGAAAAUAUAAUGUAAUUGUAUGUUUGUGUUUCAAAACCUCAAGUUUAGAAUUGUUUUCAUGUCUAAAAACGUGUUCUAUUCUAGAUAAGCCCGUGCUUCGCCACGAUUGAGAGAAAAAAUUGAGAAGCUCAUUUGUACUCAUGAGGUUUCAUUCAAUCAGAAAUUGACAAUAAUAUGCACAUCAUACGAAACCUUUCCUGAAGCAAUUUGUAUCAUACUUAUCAGAAAUACAAUGAAUGAAACGAUCAAUGCUUCCGGUUUCAACAACUAUACCGAAAUUGAAAAUAGUUCAGGAUACUAUACAACGCAUUGUCUGUUCACUGUUUCUGUAUCAACUUGGAGUUCUGGACAGUAUCGAGUUGGUCUGAGUAUAUUUCCAAAUGUCACUAAUCAAAUUGACUCUGACUCGCCACUUGGUAUACAAAUCUUGUAUAAUUUUUUUCUAGGUAAUAAAAGUGUUUCUGACUGCUCAGAUGUAGAAUAUCAAAACAAUGUCUCCUGUCAAUGCCAAAGUGACAACUCCACUGUCAAAUUUGAGCUCAGUUGGAACUCAAGUCAGGUUUCCAACAAAGAGUUGAGAAACAAAGUGUGUACUUCAAAUUUAAACAGUAUUGAUGGAAGUCCAACCUUUCCACUGAUUCUCAUUGUAUGUUCCGUUUUGGCGUCAAUAACAAUAAUGCUCUUCAUAGUGCUCUUAUAUCAAAAGUUCAAUAGCUGCGCUAGAAAAGAGAGGGAUUUGUCUAAUCUACAAGGAACUGUGGAUUUAAAACGAGAGACUGAUACGAUGUAUCGUCAAAAGCUUGAAAUCCCCCUAGGUACAGAGGAUCUAAAUCAAGAUAUAGAAACAGUUAAAUGUUUCUCAACUGCGGAAGAUGCGGACUUAUACUCUGAUUUUGGUACAGAAUACUACACUCUUGAUGACUUGGCUAAUUGUGCGCCAGAUCAAAGCAAUACUAAUGAACACGAAGUGAUUCAAAACUAGGCUCUUCAGCCUGUCAAGAUUAUCUUUGUAUUGGAGACUUUUAUCUGUGGACUUUUAACCAAAAAUUGCUAGUACAGAAAAUAGAGAGUAUUGAUGAGCUAUAAAUAGCUUUCGCUUCUAGCGUAUACUAUAUAUUUUUAGUUAUUUAUGUUGUUAACACUUAUCUAUGAAUACGGCGUAUUUGAUAUAGUUUGGAAUAAAACAAUUAUCAUGAAAAAUACCAUUUAUCUUCUUGUUAUUAGUUAUAUUUAAAGGCUAACAUUUUUUAAGCUCUAUGUGAACAGAAAGUAGUGGACCAAACCUUGACAAAGCUUUUAUAGCAAAUACAUCAAUCAAGCCCAAUAAGUUUGAUAUAUUCUACUUUCGUUAUCGGUUGUUGUUGUUUUUUUCCGGAUGUUUAAUUACAAACUAUUUAUUCACAUUCAAGUCUCUGGUGUAUACUUCAAUGUCAUAUUUGAUUGAAGCUGGGGUAUGUUUGGUUUCCUUUUGUCAAUAUGUUUUAUUUACUUUUGUCAAUAUGUUUUAUUUACUUUUUUUCAAUAUGUUUUAUUUACUUUUUGCAAUAUGUUUUAUUUACUUUUUUGCAAUAUGUUUUAUUUACUUUUUUCAAUAUGUUUUUAUUUACUUUUGUCAAUAUGUUUUAUUAACUUUUGUCAAUAUUUUUUUGUUAUUUUUAAUGCACUAAUGUAAGAGAAAUUUCCUGAAAUAGACUAAAGAUUUAUUAUUUACUAGUUGACAAGCUGCGUAGCAUACGCCGCUAUUUCCAGGGAGGGCCUUAGGCCGCUGUAACCUAUGCGACCGAGGUGGAGCCUCACUUUCAUGGGACCCGGGCUAAUUCGGAGUGUAUAAAUUAUUAAAUUAAACCAUUUUAUAACUUAAAACAGAUUUCCCGCGCCAUCCUGUCAAUUUACCAGGAGCUCCAGGAAAUCUCCCUAAAUCGCUAAAUAUACGAAAAAGUCCUUAAAAUGUAUGGAAAUAUGUAGACAAAAAUUGUCAUUUUGCGGUGUCAUUUAAUAUGGAAAACGCCAAUCCUACGCGCGAUAAAUAAAAACAUCAUUAUGCAUUAGCCAUAAUUAUGUAAUCUGGUGAAAGAAGCUUCUCGCGCCUCAAACUAAUAAAGAAUUACUUGAGGUAAACAAUUCUCAAAGAUAAAUUGAGCGUGAUCUAUGUAGGAAACAGAAUUAUUAUGAUAUACUGUAUGACUUCGCUACACGUAAGGCUCAUAAAGUGAUUCUGUACAUAGUAAAGAAUGAAUAAAAUGCAUAGACGAAUUUAUUUUCUAAAACGAACUCUUAAACUUCCCUUCCCAAACUUGGCCCCACGAAAUCCGUUUAGCAUAGGGCCCCACAAUGGUUAAGCCCGGCGCUGCUAUUUAGUGUUUUUAAUGUUUUUUUUGUAAAAUGUUUCGGAUGUUCCUUCAGAAUUGAGUUUACUUCCUAGUCCAAACCUCCCGUAGGACGAAGGGGGAUGGGAGCGGGCAGGGUUUGCACCCGGGACUACCGAUACAUCCAAACGGCAGUCCAGCGCGGAAACCUCACGACCAGGCAGCCAUCCGAAGUAACGGGUGAAUACUACUUGUCCUCUCCCCCCACCCUCUUGUUUUACUCGUGUGGUAACAUAAGUCCGCAGAAAUAAAAGAGUGAUCUUUCCUUUACUUCUUGCUUGCGUGUCCAAACUCUUGAUCCAUGAAGAGAAUUAUAUAUAUAGAUUAUGUUAGAAAUGAACUCAUUCUGUGGCACUGCCAGAGUCAAAUUUCACUAAAGUGAAACAAAAUUCAUCGUAGUUCCUUUAACAGUUUCCACUGAGGAAUUUUCUUGCGAUGUGGCAAGUCUGCAACUGUACCGCCCUCUGACAGGUAAUGAUAAUCUUCCUUGGGAUGUUAAGGGCCUCCCGGACUUAAAAAUAUAUAUGAGGUCGGUAAUCAUUAUCCCCCCCCCCCCCCCGGUUGGUAUAACAAUGGGGUAUAUUGUUAUUUUUGAUAACUUCAAUAAACGCUUAAUCUCCAAGCCUAGGUUCCCAUACUUUUUUGUUACGGCGAUGACAAAAAUAAUAGCGAUUAAAAACCACCGUUUUUUCGGUCAAAACAGGCUUAUCCAGUACAGCAGAUGAUUAGUAGAAUCGAAAGUCUCUUGUGGCGAGUAUUUGUAAUAAGGAGGAGUAUCCUUACUGAUCAAAUUAAGUCAAUUGUUGGUGUAUUAACUUUUUUUUUUUUAAUAAUUUUUAUCA
RNA transcript from Biomphalaria glabrata, 3816 nucleotides. RefSeq lists it as uncharacterized. NCBI's taxonomy places the organism in Eukaryota, Metazoa, Mollusca, Gastropoda, Planorbidae. The transcript has 8 exons. The record is from RefSeq and is a predicted model, not a curated record.